This is a long non-coding RNA of Lacerta agilis (Sand lizard), 183 nucleotides long. RefSeq lists it as uncharacterized. Lineage: Eukaryota; Metazoa; Chordata; Lepidosauria; Squamata; Lacertidae. The record is from RefSeq and is a predicted model, not a curated record. The transcript has 2 exons.
GCUUGGACUGCAGUUCACGUCAGAGUGCGUAGCUACGCUUUUUUAUUGUACUCGUGUCUACUGCUGAUCCCAUGGCUCCUAGCAUCCCCAGUCUUGAACCAUGGCGCAAGGAUCCAUGCAUUUCUUCUGUCUGAAAGAUGGCUUCCCAGCCUGAAAUGAUAUUAAAAUGUCAACUAACAGCAA